CUUUCUGCGUCUCUUCAAGCUGGUUGCAUCAGGGCCGUGUAGCUUUUCGGUGCUCCUGACCUCUGAGUGUGGACCUGUGUCCUUGAGGUAUGAGGGAGUUUAAAAUCCCUUCUCUCUGCAUUUCACAGAAACUCAGCACCCAGGUGUGUUAUCAGGCACCAGCGCUUGCUCUGCAGCACCAAUUGGGCUGAGCAAGUUCUCCCCACCCUUCCGCGGGCCCUUCGGCUACACGUGCGUGGCUUCACCUGCGGCAGCUCCCAGGACAGGCUGGCUCAGCUCCUGCGAGCAGAGGAUGGCAGUUCCUUCAGACAGGCACGUGGUGGCAAGAUCUGGGGUUCGGUUUCCUCGUCCUACACAAAGAAAGCUUCUUGAGUUCGGACUCCUAGCCACUACCGGUAGGUCCUGCCUUGCUCAGCUGUCGUCGUCUCAGUGUGGUUUCGCCAGGUGGGGUGGGAAGGUGGGUGGGAGGGGAGGAGCUGGAG
Molecule: long non-coding RNA, 482 nt
Filed under: Anas platyrhynchos platyrhynchos (common mallard)
Lineage: Eukaryota; Metazoa; Chordata; Aves; Anseriformes; Anatidae
Description: lncRNA (ENSAPLG00000024131.1)
Source: RNAcentral